CAGCAGCCGCGGUAAAACGUAGGUGGCAAGCGUUGUCCGGAAUUAUUGGGCGUAAAGGGCUCGCAGGCGGUUUCUUAAGUCUGAUGUGAAAGCCCCCGGCUCAACCGGGGAGGGUCAUUGGAAACUGGGAAACUUGAGUGCAGAAGAGGAGAGUGGAAUUCCACGUGUAACGGUGAAAUGCGUAGAGAUGUGGAGGAACACCAGUGGCGAAGGCGACUCUCUGGUCUGUAACUGACGCUGAGGAGCGAAAGCGUGGGGAGCGAACAGGAUUAGAUACCCGGGUAGUCCCUGUCUCUUAUAC
Molecule: ribosomal RNA, 301 nt
Filed under: uncultured bacterium
Lineage: Bacteria
Description: partial 16S ribosomal RNA
Rfam family: Bacterial small subunit ribosomal RNA
Source: RNAcentral